RNAcentral lists this ribosomal RNA (351 nucleotides) under Aeromonas hydrophila. RNAcentral's name for it is "bacterial SSU rRNA". It matches the Rfam family "Bacterial small subunit ribosomal RNA", at positions 46 to 392 of the family's 1533-position model. Lineage: Bacteria; Pseudomonadati; Pseudomonadota; Gammaproteobacteria; Aeromonadales; Aeromonadaceae. The record is from RNAcentral.
GCCUACCAUGCAAGUCGAGCGGCAGCGGGAAAAGUAGCUUGCUACUUUUGCCGGCGAGCGGCGGACGGGUGAGUAAUGCCUGGGGAUCUGCCCAGUCGAGGGGGAUAACAGUUGGAAACGACUGCUAAUACCGCAUACGCCCUACGGGGGAAAGGAGGGGACCUUCGGGCCUUUCGCGAUUGGAUGAACCCAGGUGGGAUUAGCUAGUUGGUGGGGUAAUGGCUCACCAAGGCGACGAUCCCUAGCUGGUCUGAGAGGAUGAUCAGCCACACUGGAACUGAACACGGUCCAGACUCCUACGGGAGGCAGCAGUGGGUAAUAUUGCACAAUGGGCGAAACCCUGAUGCACCC